This 650-nucleotide long non-coding RNA is filed under the name Daphnia pulicaria. Its description in RNAcentral is "uncharacterized LOC124329265, transcript variant X2". The record is from RNAcentral. Lineage: Eukaryota; Metazoa; Arthropoda; Branchiopoda; Diplostraca; Daphniidae.
CAAGGAAGGUCGUAAAGUUUUUUUUUGUUUAAAGGUGGGGUUUUAGAGUUAGAUACUUAUAAUUUUUGUCAGAAGGUAUUGGGGCGUGGUUGGGUUUAUAAUUUUUGUCAAAAGGGAGGGUUAGAACUUAGAAUUCGUCCGCCAGCAGGUGGACGAAUUCGCAAUAUAUUCGCGGUCUUAGUCGCAAUUUUAAAAAAUACUUAUUCCCAGAGUUAGUUCAUAUUCGUCUAAUUAUCAGUAGUUUCUAUUGAUCUUGGUAGGUCAGUAGGUAACUACUGGGUCACUACCCCAGUGUGGACAUGUUUGUUUUUCUGAACAUGUUUUCAACGAAUAAUUCAUUGAUGGAAAGCUAUGAAAAAUAUCAUAUCAUCUAGGCCAUGGGUAAUCUUCAGGUCUAUUGCAGCAGCAGCAGCAGAGAAGAAUAUGAACAAAUGCAGGACACAUACCAACAUGUGUUGUAUUUUUCUGAAUGUUAAAGACGAGCAAUUCAACAUGACUAACUGUUUGAUGCCAAAGUAAGUCGGAACUCAACUCACUGUACGUACUCUAACACAGAUAACUGGUGCUGUUGCCUUUCAGCCACAGGCAGGAAAAUAAUUCUUUAGUUCAGAAAAUUGUAAGUUACAUUUUUUAUCUUGAACUACAAUGUC